UGGACCGGGCGGAGACGGUUGGAAAAGAUUUGUCAUGAGAAGUCAGCAGAGGUCAUAGUACCGCAAAAGCGGAAAGGAC
This is a non-coding RNA of Dialister succinatiphilus YIT 11850, 79 nucleotides long. NCBI's taxonomy places the organism in Bacteria, Bacillati, Bacillota, Negativicutes, Veillonellales, Veillonellaceae. The record is from Rfam.